AGGAUAUUCGGAACUUCAUCGAUAGUUCUUUGAAGCAUGAUUAUCAUCUUGCCAUCUUCCGUAAAGAACGAAUUGGCGGAGAUUCAAAUGGAAUUUCAUACUGGUAUGAAGAUGACCCAAUCCUUGGGCAUCGGUUGUAUCGCGAAAUUAGGCGAGUGGAGUAUGUGAAGGAGCCAACAAAAAGAUCUAAAGGAAAGGGAGUCUCAAGUGUUCCGGUUAUAUCCUAUCAAUGGGAGGCAGUGGCAUCCAACUUUGAUGAGUUCAAUACAGCUGCAGUAAGUUUUGAGUUCAUCAUAGACCUUUCUUUAGGUUUUCUGUUAAAAAACGGAACCAUUGAUUAGUUCAUCCAUGCCUGUACGGAUGUACCUAAGCACUCACAAUUUUAUGUUAUGAUAAUAAAAGUUGAUGUCCGUUGUUGUUACAAGAUACUGUGAUGGUCAUGACCAUCUUGUAAAACAUGGACAUUGGUUGAAUAUUAUGAAUUGGUGAACUUCCA
This is a long non-coding RNA of Setaria italica (foxtail millet), 496 nucleotides long. RefSeq lists it as uncharacterized. The record is from RefSeq and is a predicted model, not a curated record. NCBI's taxonomy places the organism in Eukaryota, Viridiplantae, Streptophyta, Magnoliopsida, Poales, Poaceae. The transcript is spliced from 2 exons.